This 1052-nucleotide ribosomal RNA is filed under the name uncultured bacterium. RNAcentral's name for it is "bacterial SSU rRNA". It matches the Rfam family "Bacterial small subunit ribosomal RNA", at positions 55 to 1099 of the family's 1533-position model. The record is from RNAcentral.
AUGCAGUCGACGGCAGCACGGGGGCAACCCUGGUGGCGAGUGGCGAACGGGUGAGUAACAUAUCGGAACAUAUCCGGAAGUGGGGGAUAACGUACCGAAAGGUACGCUAAUACCGCAUAUGCCCUGAGGGGGAAAGGAGGGGAUCGCAAGACCUUUCGCUUUCGGAGUGGCCGAUAUCGGAUUAGCUAGUUGGUGAGGUAAAGGCUCACCAAGGCGACGAUCCGUAGCUGGUCUGAGAGGACGACCAGCCACACUGGAACUGAGACACGGUCCAGACUCCUACGGGAGGCAGCAGUGGGGAAUUUUGGACAAUGGGGGCAACCCUGAUCCAGCCAUGCCGCGUGAGUGAAGAAGGCCUUCGGGUUGUAAAGCUCUUUCAGACGGAAAGAAACGGUCACGGCCAACACCCGUGACUAAUGACGGUACCGUCAGAAGAAGCACCGGCUAACUACGUGCCAGCAGCCGCGGUAAUACGUAGGGUGCGAGCGUUAAUCGGAAUUACUGGGCGUAAAGCGUGCGCAGGCGGUUUUGUAAGACAGACGUGAAAUCCCCGGGCUUAACCUGGGAACUGCGUUUGUGACUGCAAGACUAGAGUGUAGCAGAGGGGGGUAGAAUUCCACGUGUAGCAGUGAAAUGCGUAGAUAUGUGGAGGAAUACCGAUGGCGAAGGCAGCCCCCUGGGCUAACACUGACGCUCAUGCACGAAAGCGUGGGGAGCAAACAGGAUUAGAUACCCUGGUAGUCCACGCCCUAAACGAUGUCAACUAGGUGUUGGGGAAGGAGACUUCUUUAGUACCGCAGCUAACGCGAUAAGUUGACCGCCUGGGGAGUACGGUCGCAAGAUUAAAACUCAAAGGAAUUGACGGGGACCCGCACAAGCGGUGGAUUAUGUGGAUUAAUUCGAUGCAACGCGAAAAACCUUACCUACCCUUUGACAUGUCAGGAAGAUACCAGAGAUGGGAUUUGUGCCCGAAAGGGACCCUGAACACAGGUGCUGCAUGGCUGUCGUCAGCUCGGUGUCUGAGAGUUUGGGUAAGUUCCCGCAACGAGCGC